RNAcentral lists this ribosomal RNA (497 nucleotides) under uncultured bacterium. RNAcentral describes it as "partial 16S ribosomal RNA". It matches the Rfam family "Bacterial small subunit ribosomal RNA", at positions 28 to 507 of the family's 1533-position model. The record is from RNAcentral.
GAUGAACGCUGGCGGCGUGCCUAAUACAUGCAAGUCGAGCGAACAGACGAGGAGCUUGCUCCUCUGACGUUAGCGGCGGACGGGUGAGUAACACGUGGAUAACCUACCUAUAAGACUGGGAUAACUUCGGGAAACCGGAGCUAAUACCGGAUAAUAUAUUGAACCGCAUGGUUCAAUAGUGAAAGACGGUUUUGCUGUCACUUAUAGAUGGAUCCGCGCCGCAUUAGCUAGUUGGUAAGGUAACGGCUUACCAAGGCGACGAUGCGUAGCCGACCUGAGAGGGUGAUCGGCCACACUGGAACUGAGACACGGUCCAGACUCCUACGGGAGGCAGCAGUAGGGAAUAUUACGCAAUGGGCGAAAGCCUGACGGAGCAACGCCGCGUGAGUGAUGAAGGUCUUCGGAUCGUAAAACUCUGUUAUUAGGGAAGAACAAAUGUGUAAGAAACUAUGCACGUCUUGACGGUACCUAAUCAGAAAGCCACGGCUAACUACGUG